CUAUUCAGCUGAUUCUCUUUCCCUCGUGUGUGAGUGGACUUCAAUUAUCGGCCCUUGUGCUACGGUCCUUUUCCUUCAGCUUUUAUUGCUUCUUCCCUUUUCUGUUUCAAACCCGCAUCUUUCCCUCCUCAGUCUUUCCUUUUCCUAUUCAAAUAUUUCCCUUCUGAGUAUUAAUGAUUUAUUUCUUUCCUUUUCAACAUGAUUUCGCAAAAAAAAUUGUGUCUGAAUUUAGCCCUAUGAUUAGAACUUUCACGUCCAUUACGCUAGACCUUUUACCCAAAGUUCUAACUCUGCUCCCUACCUCCGCCGCCGUCUCUUCCUGCUCCGCUGCUUCAAUUGCUGAUUUGUUACACAAAGCGAUUGCUGCUAUGUCAAUCCAAGAUGAAGAGCCAUUGGUACUCCCACUACAAGAAAUAUGAGUAUUGGUAGCAGUUCACGGUAGCACAAAUUCACUAACUGCUACCAAUAAUAACAAAAUCGGAUCAGAAUUCUAUUGUAGCAUUAAAUUUACGCUAAGAUAGAAUUUCAUUAAUCCAAAAGGCAGAAAUCACUAUCAACGCUGAAAAAAAACUAUUUUGGAGCCGACACUUAGCCAAUUUUUUGGUUUUCUUUUAUUUCCCACCAAAAAAACAACAAUUCCCUUUUCAUUAGGGUUCUUAUCAUUCGUCUCUGUCACCUCCUCGAGUCUCAUCCCUGCGUUUCCCCUUUGUUCGAUCUCGAGCUCCGACCACCACUCUGUGGUCCCCACCCGCCCGCAAUCGAACACGGUGGCGCCUCUUGUCCACUCUCUCCGCCGUGUCUCUGCUCAUCAAUCCGCCGUGCUCUGCUUCACACCGCAACAGUCUCGCCGUCUUCGUCACGUCGGAGCUCUCAUCCAUCGUCCAUCUCUGAGUCCGUGACCAAACCACAACACGAUAUCAGCUGCUCCAAAUCAAGCUUCUCUGGUCCGUCUUGUUUCUUUGUCGUCACCGGAAUCAUGCCACACUGUCGGGAUAGAAGUGCAGAAAGCAACAAUGGUGAUCUUUAAACUAUUUGCAAAUAUGGUCCUUCAUCUUUGUAGAGUUUUGUUUUUGCCCCAAGCCUUUACCAUGUGCCAGUGAAAGGAAACCUUGUGAGUUCAGGACAAUGGUGGUAACAGAUGCUGAAGGUCAUCUCUUGGGGAGAUUAAUUGUGGAACUUUACUGCAAAGUUGUAGCCGAAUGAGCAGUCUUCUUGAACAACUGUGGCAACAAAAAAAGAGAGAGUAAGAGAGUUCUCUAAUGUGCAAUCACAAAUUGAGAAGAUAUCCGGAGAGAUUGCUGGUGGUUUCUGUAAUGAGGUUCCUAUAUCCUUAGCAAUUUUAAAACAACUAAGAUCAAUGAAGUUAAAACUUAUAAUUAGAGAUACAUGAUGCAGAGUUCGUGAAGACAUGCGAGAGAGGUGGAAAGACUUGAUGUGUGUUUUAUAAAAUUAAUGAAUAGAAUUGUGAGUUUAAGAUUUUUUGUUAUAUUAGUAUGGUCUUUGUAGAAAGUGAAAUGUGAUUGAUUAUAUGAUUAACUGUAAUCGAUUAUAUUUGAGGUCAGUUCAUGGACUUGGAACAAACCAAUGUUAAAAAUUAUGAUA
Long non-coding RNA from Raphanus sativus (radish), 1602 nucleotides. RefSeq lists it as uncharacterized. The transcript is spliced from 3 exons. Lineage: Eukaryota; Viridiplantae; Streptophyta; Magnoliopsida; Brassicales; Brassicaceae. The record is from RefSeq and is a predicted model, not a curated record.